RNAcentral lists this ribosomal RNA (324 nucleotides) under uncultured eukaryote. RNAcentral describes it as "partial 18S ribosomal RNA". It matches the Rfam family "Eukaryotic small subunit ribosomal RNA", at positions 1470 to 1796 of the family's 1831-position model. The record is from RNAcentral.
CCCCUAGAUGUUCUGGGCCGCACGCGCGCUACACUGAACAGUUCAACAAGUCUUAACCUUGGCCGAUAGGUCUGGGUAAUCUUUGAACGCUGUUCGUGAUUGGGAUAGACCUUUGCAAUUAUGGGUCUUCAACGAGGAAUUCCUAGUAAACGCAAGUCAUCAGCUUGCAUUGAUUACGUCCCUGCCCUUUGUACACACCGCCCGUCGCUCCUACCGAUUGAGUGCUCAGGUGAAUAAUUCGGACUGCAGCAGUGUUUGGAUCCCGAACGCUGCAGCGGAAAGUUUAGUGAACCUUAUCACUUAGAGGAAGGAGAAGUCGUANCA